This 923-nucleotide ribosomal RNA is filed under the name uncultured bacterium. RNAcentral's name for it is "bacterial SSU rRNA". It matches the Rfam family "Bacterial small subunit ribosomal RNA", at positions 52 to 964 of the family's 1533-position model. The record is from RNAcentral.
CACAUGCAAGUCGAACGGCAGCACAGCAGAGCUUGCUCUGUGGGUGGCGAGUGGCGGACGGGUGAGUAAUGCAUCGGGACCUACCCAGACGUGGGGGAUAACGUAGGGAAACUUACGCUAAUACCGCAUACGUCCUACGGGAGAAAGCGGGGGACCUUCGGGCCUCGCGCGGUUGGACGGACCGAUGUGCGAUUAGCUAGUUGGUAGGGCAAUGGCCUACCAAGGCGACGAUCGCUAGCUGGUCUGAGAGGAUGAUCAGCCACACUGGGACUGAGACACGGCCCAGACUCCUACGGGAGGCAGCAGUGGGGAAUAUUGGACAAUGGGCGCAAGCCUGAUCCAGCAAUGCCGCGUGUGUGAAGAAGGCCUUCGGGUUAUAAAGCACUUUUAUCAGGAACGAAAUACCACGGGUUAAUAACCUAUGGGGCUGACGGUACCUGAGGAAUAAGCACCGGCUAACUUCGUGCCAGCAGCCGCGGUAAUACGAAGGGUGCAAGCGUUAAUCGGAAUUACUGGGCGUAAAGGGUGCGUAGGCGGUUAUUUAAGUCUGCCGUGAAAUCCCCGGGCUCAACCUGGGAAUGGCGGUGGAUACUGGAUAGCUAGAGUGUGUCAGAGGAUGGUGGAAUUCCCGGUGUAGCGGUGAAAUGCGUAGAGAUCGGGAGGAACAUCAGUGGCGAAGGCGGCCAUCUGGGACAACACUGACGCUGAAGCACGAAAGCGUGGGGAGCAAACAGGAUUAGAUACCCUAGUAGUCCACGCCCUAAACGAUGCGAACUGGAUGUUGGUCUCAACUCGGAGAUCAGUGUCGAAGCUAACGCGUUAAGUUCGCCGCCUGGGGAGUACGGUCGCAAGACUGAACUCAAAGGAAUUGACGGGGGCCCGCACAAGCGGUGGAGUAUGUGGUUUAAUUCGAUGCAACGCGA